CAGUCGCCGCGGUAAUACGUAGGGUGCAAGCGUUAAUCGGAUUUACUGGGCGUAAAGCGUGCGUAGGCGGCUUCUUAAGUCGGAUGUGAAAUCCCUGAGCUUAACUUAGGAAUUGCAUUCGAUACUGGGAAGCUAGAGUAUGGGAGAGGAUGGUAGAAUUCCAGGUGUAGCGGUGAAAUGCGUAGAGAUCUGGAGGAAUACCGAUGGCGAAGGCAGCCAUCUGGCCUAAUACUGACGCUGAGGUACGAAAGCAUGGGGAGCAAACAGGAUUAGAUACCCGAGUAGUCCCUGUCUCUUAUAC
Molecule: ribosomal RNA, 301 nt
Filed under: uncultured bacterium
Lineage: Bacteria
Description: partial 16S ribosomal RNA
Rfam family: Bacterial small subunit ribosomal RNA
Source: RNAcentral